CACAGUUCAACUGCAGCAUUAACUCGUUAUCAUUAUCUGAGGAGAAGUUGUAAGCAGAAACAGCGACAUAAGCACCGUGUGUACAGAUGUGAUGAUUCCGUGUGCCAUGGGAUCACUGCACAUUGCAUAUGAUUUUGACCGGAGUACGCACAGAAAUCAGUGGUGCACUAUUCUAGAGAAAUUCAUAAAUGUACGCAAAUGCUUUUGCAUCUUGGCACUGAGCCAGAAAAAAGAUAUCGUCAGUUGAAUUCAAGGAAGAAGUUGCGCAGCAAUUGAGCUACAUGGGAUGCAAGGUUUCCAAAAAUGAAUUUGUUUUCCGGGUUUGACUGACAUAAUACAAACGAUGGUGACUUUGUGGACACGCUAUAUAACACUACAUAUCUUUGUAUAUAGUCGUAACACGAUUAGGGGCGAUUAAAUACAGCAUUAGUGGUAAGAUAACACCAGUUAACGAGAAACUGAAACAAGCCUUCUAAAUCAUUUUUUCGGACCAAUAAAUUUCAAUUUCAGAGAGCUUACACAUACCAUAAUUUCUGUAUCAAAACAAGACUCAUAACACACAAUCAAAGUAGCAUAACAGCGAAACACUAAAGUGAGUUUAAAUUACAACUAUUUUUAUAGCAGAAUAUGGAUGACAAAAUAAAACGAGACACAAAGUAUAAACACUAGUUUAGCAUGCAGCAAUAUUCAACAUACAUAGUAGGGUUUGAUGAGUCAACCACGCAAGUAUAUUAGAACGCAGCUUAAGGCUACAAGCGAUUGUAUAGCGCAAUAGAGGAGCGCGGACACAAAUAGCCCAGAUGCUUAUCACCAAGAAUUAUCAAAGUCAGAUUAAACAGGCCAGAGCAACUAGAGUUAACAGCAACCGCAUAUAUAGAGAGUGCAUAAGAGCAGAAACUUAAAACAGCAUAACCAUGCAGUGGAAGCGGCACGACAAAGGAAGAAAAUUCUAUCAUAUACACUUUUACAAAAUUUCACUUGUGAAUAACAGAAAAGGAAUGAUUAAACAAAGUCUCUAGCUUCUAACUGAUAGGCUAUGAUUAAUAUAUAAACUAUCAAAUACGGACGGCCGCAAACAGUUUUUGGCGAAUUUCUUCGGUUCACAGAAAUACAUGUCACCUUGAAUAUCAAGUGUAUAGAUACCGUUCGAAAUACAGACGUCAUUGUUCUCAAUCAAGUAAAAUUGUUCACGCGAAUAUAUAAAAUACCUUGUCACGUUUGAGAGCCGCACACCAUGUUGGCGAGUUGCCCCUUCAACACCCGUUCCCGUUGUCCGGGGCACGGACUCGAGAGACUUUCUCAGCCGCUAGAGAAGAAUCGAAUAUCGGAAGUGCGAGUCACGAUCUCGUUUUAAGCCCGAACAUUUCUAAAGUUCUGAUUUGUAACUUAAGUGUUGAAAUGCGACAUUAAUACAUGAAAAGUAAAGAUCUGACAAGCUGAUGUUGAGUUAGUCAUGCUAUAGUAGGUCGAUCGAGGAUUUAUGCGCAUUGAUUAGUUUAUUACCCUAUUGUUAUUCUGUUUGGAUUUUCUCAAAAUAAACGACCUGACGUGGUCGUGGCCUCUCCCUAAUCUCGCUCUCCAAAACAUUCAAUUAGUUAGUUUCAUUUAACACAGCUGAAUUUUGGUUUUAACUUUCAUAAUUUUGAUUGUAAGAGUAUUAAUAGACGUGACUCUAAUUGCCUAGACUCACGGUAAAUCAUCUAAUGCAAUUAUCCACUCAUUUAAGAACCCAACUAUUAAGGGCAAGAACUGUGUCACAUCUAGGGCAGUUUUAUUUUUAUACUCCAAACAAAAACUACAAAAAUGGAUAGUACUAAUCUGAAGCUAGGAUUUUAAAUACGGGCAGAUACGUAGAAUAAGCCAUGAUGUUACAUGUAAAAGCAUAAAUCUCCUAUCACAACACAACAAACCAACAACGCAAGCCUUACCACAAAUGCGGCUACAUGGAUCACAAAGGUAAGGAAACUCGUCGCCCGGUAAAGGAAGAACUCAAGCCAGCUUAUCACACCAACUGCGUCAAGUAGAUGUUAGAAAUAAGAAUCUUAAGUAAAAUGCCCCCACAAAAGACACCAUCAUGAACUCAAUCAACCCUGAUACCCAUCAGCAUGUUGAUCACAACCACUCAUCUAUAUCAAGAUUUCCCAUAAGCGCGAGAAAAAAGGCUGAACAGAGGCUAGGCAGAGACAGAUACCAGACAAGUGGAAGACAUACGGUACCGACUUCGCUAAGGAGUGGCCGGCAUACUCUUAAUCCAGGCUCGGCUUCCCCUCCCUCUCUCUCUGCUCGUUCUUCUCCCGUCGUGUGCGCUCUGGUUCUCUUGUCCGCUCUCUCUCUCUCAUCUCCCUCUUGCAUGCCCUAUCUUCCUCUCCUCUCUCUGCUCUUCUUUCCUACUCUCCUCGCCCUUCAAUACUCUUUACUCUCUCUUCUCUUUUCCUCUGUUAUCUCUGUCUCCUCCCAAAUGUAACUUUUUUUCUCAUCUCACUCCUCGUAUGUAAAACGAGUUUCUUUCAUGUAAUGUAAUGAUAAUAAGAAAGCAAGAGAAGUCAGUUCCAAAGGAGGACAACCUUGAAGAUGCUUGCUUGGAGAAGCUUAGAUCGUUGUUAGGUUAGCUUAGGUUCUCUCAUUGGCUUGGGAGAACAAUUGCGCUAGGGCCAUAACUGUUUCAUUAUGUAUGUAUGUAUGUUGAUGCAUGUGAAUGUAUGUUGAUGCAUGUGAGAGACGGUUUAUAUGAUAAACAAGCCGGUGAAUCAGAAAAAUUGCAAUUCCUAAAUUAAAUUUAAGUUACAUGCUUCCAAGUUUAAGCACUCACAUGCAAGACUAGUAAUGGAUAAUGUAGGUUUCGCCUACGCAGGUGCAUGUUCUAUAUAUUAUAAGGUGGCGAUGGGAUAAUUGUAAUAUCCAACUGUUAAAACAAUGGAUCAAACUUAACUAAACAAAUUAUGAGAAUAUUAUAUAUGUUUGCUUUCCAAGUUUAGCAAACUCAUCAAGACUGGUAUCGAAUAAUGUAGUGUUUCGCCUACGCGAGAUGCAUGUUUGUAUUAGUUAAGGUGCGAUGGGAUAAUUGUAUCUCCAACUGCUAAAAACGAUGAGUUAAACUUGAUUAUAAUUUCUUAUAUAUGUUUAGAAGCAAGAGUUAGGAAUAACCAUAUGAUGGAUUGGAAUAAGGAGUUAUUCACCCAAUUGAAAUUUUCGAGAGUUGUAGAGAUACAAUUGAAGGAGUUCCUACCUAAAUAACCUAGUUUUGUGUAAUCCGCCUACGCGGACUUAGAACGAAGUGAAAUAUGGAUCUCGACCCACUAGAAGAAAUCUUCCAACGGAUUCCGAAUCAAAUGAAUGAGGGUCAUUUGUUUUGAAGAAAGUGGGAGCAUAUUUAAUUAAAGGCCUAAUUGAAUAUGUCAAUGAUACUUAUAUUUUCAUUAAUCCCUUAUGUAAUUACCAUGACAGCUUACACAACUUAACCGUGUUCCAUCCAAAAGGUUGAAAGACACCAUAUGAAGAUAUGGAGUGGGUAAGAGACCACAUGUGUCUUACAUGAAGAUUUGGGGUUGCGAAGUUUAUGUGAAACGACAAAUUUCAACUAAGCUUAAGCCCAAAUCUGAACCAAUGCUUAUUUUGGGGGUAUCCAAAGAAACAAGAGGAAUAUUACUUCAACAAUCCUUCGGAGGGCAAAGUGUUUGUCGCUCGAACUGAAGUUUUCCUAGAAAAGGAUUUAAUUCCAAAGGAACCAGUGGGAGGAAAGUAGAGCUUGAAGAAUUUAAAGAAUCACAAGCAUCGAUACACCUAUGGAGGAAUAGAGCUGGAAACACAAGUAGGUUGUGUAAGAGCAACCUGCUCAAGAUAAACAAGACCAACGUAGGUCAGGCAGGAUACAUCACCUACCUGAGUAUAUGGAUAUGAUCAAAGGUGAUGUAUUACUCAUGGAUCAAGAUGAGCCUGUGACCUACUCAUGGAAUCGUUCGCCUUGAGAAAUAGUAAACUGUAUGGAUUCAUCAAGAACGAAGAUGAGCCUUGUGUCUACAAGAAGGUUAGUGGGAGCAUGAUCGUAUUCCUGGUAUUAUAUGUAGAUGACAUAUUACUCAUUGGAUCGAUAUCCCUACCCUGUAACAAGUAAAGUCUUGGUUGGGGAAAUGCUUUUCUAUGAAGGACCUGGUGAAGUAGCCUAACAGAAAUCUAUAGAGAUAGAUCAUGAAAUGCUUGGCCUAAGUCAGAGUACAUAGACAAAGUGCUGAGACGCUUUAAUAUGAAUGAUUCCAAUCUGGUUAUGUGUUUUGCUUAAAUGGUGGCACUGUGAACUUGAAAAGUUCAACGCAAGAUGCAGUUGUUGAUUCUACAACCGAGGCCGAGCAUAUUGCUGCCUUAAGUGCAGCAAAGGAAGCUGUUUGGAUCAAUAAACUUGGCAUAGUCCCUAGCAUUGUGGAUCCCAUUCGUUUUUCGUUCUUUUUAUUUUUUAUUUUUUUUAAACACGUGGGCUUCGCCUAGCGAGCAUGACAGUUCAAGAAAUUCCUCUGAGCGUAGGUGAUUCUGGUGGCUUUUCUUGGGACUCGCUAGGCAAUCCAUUCUGCUCGCCUAGCGAGCAUGACAGCUCAUGAACAAACUUUUGUUUCUUCAAGAUUAACGUUUUGACUGACGAAUAGACCCCAUUUGAACCUGUUGGAAGUAUCUCAAGUCAUUCCCUUGUGUUGACUGAUCAUCUAAAUAGAACCCACAAAAUGUCUUGGAUGAUACUCAAGCUUCAAACAAAAGAUAUUAGUGACACAUUUUUGUGCUUUUGGUUAGUAAACAAAAGUAAGAGAAACAAUGAUGUAUAAUUCAAGCAUGCUUGGUGAUCUCAAACCAAUCACAAGGAGUCCCACCCAAAGGCAAAGGGAACCAAGAUGCUAAAGAUCCUUGAGGCAAUGCAAAUGCAAUGUUAUGAUGCCAUGAGGGACCUUAGGGUCAAAAUUGGGGUCUUACACUUGGAUGACCACUUAGCUCACCAACCAAUUGAAGAUUAUAAGUCAGUGCAGUAUGACUUUCCUGAUGAAGAGAUUUUGUACCUGGAAAUGAAAGAUUGUGAUGAACCAUUGCUUGAAGAAGGGCCAGAACCUGGUUCCCGUUGGGGUAUGGUAUUUGAUUGAGCUGUUAAUCAGUAUGGUAAUGGCAUUGGGGUAGUGACUAUUACUCCUCAAGGCACUCAUUUUCCGUUUACAUCCAGAUUGACUUUCAAGUGUACAAAUAAUACGGCUAAGUAUGAAGCUUGCAUUAUGGGGCUUGAAGAGGCCAUUGAUCUCAGAAAUCAAGUAUUUGGACGUCUAUGGAGUUUCAGCUUUGGUUGUGAAGCAGAUCAAAGGUGAAUGGGAUACGAAUCAACCCGGUUUGAUACCAUAUAUAUAUUACGCGAGGAGGAUUUCAACUUUCUUUACAAAGGUUGAGUUUCAUCGCAUCCCUCGAGAUGAAAACUGAAUGGCAGAUGCUCUUGCAACGUUGACUUCAAUGAAUGUGGUGAAGUUUUGGAAUGAAGUUCCUAAUUUGACUGUGAUGCGUCUUGAUAGGCCAACUAUGUGUUUGCUAUUGAAGAGGUCAAAGAUGAAAAGCCAUGGUAUUUUGAUAUCAAGUGUUUCCUCCAAAGUCAGAUUUACCCGCUUGGGGCAUCUUUAAAAGAUAAGAAGACUUUGAGAAGGUUAGCUGGCAACUUUUACCUGAAUGGUGAUGUGCUUUACAAGAUAAACUUUGAUAUGGUUCUGCUCAUAUGCAUGGAUAGACACGAAGCAGACUUGUUAAGGACUGAAGUCCAUGAAGGUUCAUUUAGUACUCAUUCCAAUGGACAUGCUAUGGCUAAGAAGAUGUUGAGAGAAGGUUACUAGUGGCUGACAAUUGAAUUUGACUGCUGCAAGUUUGUGAAGAAUGCCACAAGUGUCAAAUUUAUGCGAAUAAGAUUCAUGUUCCCCCGACACUGUUGAACGUCAUUUCCUCCCCAUGGCCAUUAUCCAUGUGGGGAAUUGAUAUGAUUGACAUGAUUGAGCCCAAAACUUUGAACGAACAUCGUUUCAUUUUGGUGGCUAUUGACUACUUCACAAAGUGGGUUGAAGCGGCAUUGUAUGCGAAUGUAACCAAGCAAGUUGUUGUGAGGUUUAUCAAGAAUCAGAUCAUAUGUCGUUAUGGUGUGCCAAGUAAGAUCAUUACUGAUAAUGGAUCUAAAUUGAACAAUAAUAUGGUGGAAGCUCUUUGCAAAGACUAUAAGAUUGCACAUCAUAAUUCUUCUCCCUACAGACCUAAGAUGAAUGGGGUUGUUGAAGCUGCAAACAAGAACAUAAAGAAGAUCAUUUAGAAUAUGGUUGUAACGUACAAGGAUUGGCAUGAGAUGUUCCCAUUUGCUUUGCACGGGUAUCGUACAUCCAUCUGAACAUCAGCAGGGGCAACCCCUUUCUCACUUGUUUAUGGCAUGGAGGUUAUGCUCCUGGUAGAGGUUGAGAUCCCAUCAUUGCGUGUCUUGAUGGAAGCCAAGUUGACUAAGGUUGAAUGGUGUCAGACCAAGUUCGUUCAGUUGAAUUUGAUUAAAGAGAAGAGGUUAACUGCCAUGUGUCAUGGUCAGUUAUACUAGAAAAGGAUGAAUAAAGCAUUUGAUAAGAAGGCCAGAGCUUGUGUGUUCAGAGAAGGUGACCUUGUGCUCAAGAAGAUUUUAUCUUUCAAACCGGAUUCUAGGGGCAAAUGGACUCCUAAUUAUGAAGGCCCAUAUGUUGUUAAGAGAGCCUUUUCAGAGUGCUUUGAUUCUUAUAACUAUGGAUGGUGAAGAGUUCACUCGUCCUGUGAACGCCGAUGCAGUCAAGAAAUACUUCGCCUAAAAAGAAAAGAAUAGCUCGCUAAGUUGAAAACCCGAGAGGGCGACUUAGGAAAAAAUAAACCUCUCAGUGGAUUGAAAAUCCGAAAGGGAGAUCCAGGCAAAAGUUAGAGACAUAAAACAGAAAAUUUAUCCCGAUAAGUUGAGUACCCCACCUUGGGGAAAUUUAUGCAAAAGUUAGGGAUUAUGGAAAGUAACUGCAUCCUGUUGAUCUUCAGUCUUGAAGACACUCUUGAGCACAACCUUUUGUUCUGAUUCGUUUUCAACCGAAUCCAAGAGCAUAACAAAUAUUGAAGGCGGUAGAAGGAUUAGUGAUUAUUAUAUUUGUAAGACCCUAAUUUUGACCCUAAGAUCCCUCAUGGCAUCAUGUUAUUGCACAAGUGCAUUGCCUCAAGGAUCAUAGCCUGUUUGAUUCCUUAACCCUAAGGGUGGGACUUAUUUAAGUGUUUUGAAACCACCAAGCAUGCUUGUAUUGUAUAUUAUUUCUUUUCUUAUUUUAUUACCAACCAAAAGCACGAAAAUAGGUCACUAACUCUUUUUGUUUUGAAGCUCAAGUGAUCAUGUGUUCCAAUGCUCUUAGGAGGCUCCUAAGCCCAAUGAAAUGGCCAGAUGAAAAUGAGGAAAAGCAUGAAAAUGGUCCCCAAAGAUCCAAAUCAUCAUAUAUGCCUCCCAAGUAUCUCAAUUUUCCAAUUUUAUCAAGAUAACCCAAAGGGCUUGAGGAUUGUUUCCCAAGGAAACCCUAAUUUCACUAUGCUUUGACUGUACCUUGCCCAUGAAGCAAUCUCAACCUCUGAUCAAAUUUAAUCAAAGGAAGUUCUUUCAUUCAUCCUUUUAUGCAUAUAUGAGCCUAUUGGAGGCCCCUCAAUCAUUUAUUCAUCAAGAUUGGAAGUUUGGCCUUGAAAAGUUGAUCAGUCAAAGUCAUCUGACUAAACUGAGGUCUAUUGAGAUACAACUUUUGAUGUGUUUGUCAAAUAAAGAUGACCCCAAGAUAAAAAAUAUUAUUAAGAACCAUAUGAAAAACUUUCAUGUUCAUAAAAAAUACAUUUAAAACUUGGAAGGUCAUCAUUCAUUUCAAAACAUUAUAGGUCAUUUUGACUGAAACCCUAAUUUUGGGUCAACUUAUCAAAGGCAUAACUUCCUUAAUUUGUAUGAUUUUUAGGUGAGAACAAAUGCAUUGGAAAUAUUGAGGUGUCUAAUUCAAAUGUUAUGUUGGAUAAAAUUUCAUAAUCCUAAAAUAAAUACAUUUGAUAAAACAAAACAUUAUAGGUCAUAUUGGACCUAAUUCAUUGAAUUUGAAAAAGUACCCAACUUCAAAUGCCCAUAACUUUGUCAUAGAAAAUCCAAAUGAUGAAAACUUUGAUUCCAAAUUUAUCAUAUUGAAAAUAUCUACAAAUUUGAUGUUGUAGGUUUUUCCAUUUGAAGCUUUCAUCAUGAAACUAGAGGGGUUUGAUUAGGCUUGCUUUUGGUGAAAAUUUUCAAAUGUGACUUAAACAUGUUUUGUACUUGGAUUUUCCAGGCCAGUUUUCAUUAAUUUCCAAAUGCCAAAUGAAUUUUUUCCCAACAUGAUUUUUGUUCCUUAUUUCAAGGGCUUUGCAACCCUUACUCACAAUGCUCAUUUGGACUUACCAUUUGGGAUUUUCGAAGACCUUUCCAUUUAUGUACAUUUUGGUAUUUCAUGUUAUAACUUGGUAUGCAAGCUGAUUCCAUUUCAAAUGCAUGUCCAAAUCAUUUACAUGUGAUCCCAGCAAUAUAUUUCAUCCAUCAUUGGGCCUGUUACACGCUUGAACAGGCCCAUGCAAGCAAAUUUCAAAUGCCAUGCACAUGAAAGAAACGUGGGAUUCAGCUACCUUGAGCUAUAAAUAAAGGUUCCCUCUCAUUCAUUUGGCAACCUUUUGGAGAUCUGAAUUGCUGCAGCAUUGAAACCAUAGCCAUACCAAAGGAAUUUGAAUAAAAAUUUAUCUCACUUUCGAGCUUGAAAUUCAGCAUCAUUAGCUGAUCUUCAAAGCUUAAUUCCUUAACCUUUCACUUCCACUACAUCCCUAGAGCAAAGAGGAGUCAAGAUCUUGAAGAAAUCGUGGCCUGAAGGUCUUCAAUUCAGAGGUAUACAUUUAAACUUUUUGGAUCUAGAACUCUCAUUUCAAUGUAGCAUUCUUGUGUUUGUAUGGUUUUUUGAAGUCCUCACACUUGAGGCAAGCUUGUGAUGCUUUCAAUUUUCCAUUUCAUGAACUUUCAGUUUGAACACCAUGAUCUUCCACUUCACAUUUCUCUCAAUAUAGGAAGAGUGAGGAAGAUCCAUGGAUACAGUGGUGAUCUCCAUCACACGAGCUUCAUUUCCAUGGCUUUGUUUUUUAUUUUUAUUAAAUUUCAUUGUCCUGCAACUGGUGGCCGGAGGUUGUUGUUCCGCCAGAGAAGAUGGUGGUUUCCACCAUCAUCACCACGUGUGCACCUUCACAGCCCUUGGAUCUGGUUUUCACGUUUUAAUCGUGUGCAUCCAUUGUGUUUACUUCAUUUAAUACCUUAUGUGGCGCGUUUGACUUGGAUGUAGCGUGUUCCCCAUGAUCUGAACCAUUCAGCCUUGCCACAUCAAUUAAUGAAUCCAUCCUGUGGCGCUGGUUUUUUCCAUUAUUUCUAUUUUCAUUUUAUUUUCAGUUAAUUCCUUUUAUUUUCAAAAAUUCAUAAAAAAAUUCAUUUGAAGUCAUAAAAAUAUGAGACCAAUUCCAAAAAAUUUCUUGAAAAAUCUAGUUUCAUAUUUUAAUUUUUAUUUAUUUUUGUGACUUCAUUUGAUAUUUUUCAUGAAUUAUUUGAUUUUUAAUAGUUUUAAUUCAUUUUAAAAUACUUUCUGACUUUUGAAAAAUCCAAAAAUAUUUUCCUAGCAUUUAUAGAUCAUGAUAAAUCAAUGAAAAAUAGUCUCAUCAAUUUCUUAUUUGAUUUGAGAUUUAUUUGAGAUUUUAGUCCAUUUUAUGCUAUUUUUAAUUGUUUUUAAUUGUUUUUAAAUACUUUCUGGUUUCAAAAAUUUGUGAGAAAAUUAGUCAAAGUUUGUUUGACCAUGUUGGACCUAUGAGAAUUUAAUUAGACUUAUUAAAGUUGAUUUGAAUUGAAUUUGAGGUUUGACCUUAUUUGUUUAUUUUUUAUUUGCAUUUUAUUUUAAUUCAUAAAAUACCAAAAAAAUAUUGUUGACUUGUAAUCUUCAUUUCUUUUCUGUUUGGUGUUGAUUGAUGUUGGUUUGAUCCACAUUUGAUCAAUUGGAAUUGAUUGAUGUAUUCUUUUCCCCUCCCUUUCAUCUUCAUCCCAUUUUUUCCAUCAAUGGCCAAUGAGUUAAGUUCUUAUGGUUGGUCUUGACAAAUGAGAGGUUUAACCUUCUUUGAUCCAAACCAAACUCAACUUGAUCCAUGAUCAAGUGAGUUGUUUUGUGUCCAAGAUAACUUUGCUCACUUGAGCACAUAUUUUAUGUUUAUGUCAUUUUUCUUUUGCUCAUUUGAGCUCAUUAUUGUAUAUAAAUAUAUUGCUAUCUUGUGUUUGCUUUGUGUUUGUUUUGUGUGAACCAAAUGCUAAAGGAGAAAGGACUUAGAAUUAGGACUUACCUAUGCUUAAAGGAGUUCAAGAGCAACUAGGCCUCAUGCCUUUAGAAUGCUAAAUUGGUUGAAGAGCAACUAGGCCUCAUGCCUUUAGAAUGCUAAAAUUCCAAGUUGAUCUCAAAAGGACUUCUCUUCCAAACUUAUUCUUUGUCCAUUCCCCUUAUUGUGUUGUGAACUUUUUGAUGUUUGCUUGUGUGUGAUAGGGAUCCCACUUUGAGAUUGUGAAAAAAGGACCAUUGUCAUGAGUAGCCAAGUUAAGAGACAAGCCAAAUGGAGAUCCUAGGAGCUUGAAUGCAAAUUAUUGAUUGCUUGUUUGUGUGCUAAGUCCAAAGGAAAGGAGCAUCUUGAAUCAUCUCUAUGAUUCCAAGAAAAGGAACUCCAAGGGUUUAUCCUUCCCUCUCUUAUCUUUGUAUGCUUUAUGACUAGCCCUUCUCUUCUUCUCUCCAUUCUAACCAAGCCAAAAUCUUUUUCUUGAAACUUUGACUUUGUUUCAAAUUAGAAACCUAGGCCUUAAGCCUUUGACUUUUCAAAACCAUUUUCAUCAAUACUCAUUGUGAAUAAAUCUUAAUCCAACUUUGACUUCAUUUUGUAAAUAAAUCUAAAGGCCUUAAGCCUUUGACUUUUCAAAACCAUUUUCAUCAAUACUCAUUGUGAAUAAAUCUUAAUCCAACUUUGACUUCAUUUUGUAAAUAAAUCUAACUUGUAAAUAUAACCCAUUUCAAGUUGUUUUGUGGUUCCAAUGGCCACUUGUUAAAACUUUUCAUAAACAUUAGUCAUAGGUUUGAGUUAUCGUAGUGGUUGAUGUAAAUCUCACCUCAUCCUUAGUGAUUGGAUUAUAAGUCUUCCAUGCUUAUUAUAGGGUUAACCACUCACUAGCAUGUUGAAGCCUUACCCACAUGGUGGAUUGUUGGUUUAGGUUGAGUUUUCUCCCUUUGAUGACAAAAGACCUUAAGGCUUUUGAUCAAAUCAAUUCACCAAUCUUUGAGAUUUUUACCCCGAACUACGAGGUUUUGAUCCUCCUUUGUGAUGGUACGUAAGCAAUGGGUUCAUCCAUUCAAACAACAAAUUUGUAAAUAUAAUCUAUUCUCUUCUCAUCCCCCCAAUCUUUUGGUACAAAUAUUUUCACAAAUACCAACCUACAACACAUAUUUGCAAAAAGGGUUCCCUUAGAAUACUAAGGAUGUUUUGGGUGCGUAAAACCUUCCCAUUUCAUAGCCAACCCCCUUACCCAGAUCUCUGACAUUUUUAUUAGUUUUUUAUUUGAAAAACUUCUUACCUAGGCUUUUGUUCGCUUUUUAGCCUUUCCUUUGGACAAAUAAAAGUGCGGUGGCGACUCGAAUUAUAUGUUUACUUUUGGUUUAGUCAAUAAACCUAAAGGUAACAAAAACCCUGCUACAGAAAAGUGGCGACUCUGCUGGGGAAAGAAAUUCUCUAGUGGGUUUUGCCUACUUUUUGCUUAUGUGUGUUGUAUGUUUAUAUUUAUUUAUGGCAUAUUUUUAUGCAAAUUUGGGAUGAAUGUAUUGUUUGUAAUGUAUGAAUUGCUUGAUAUGUUAAUUGCUUGUAUGCUUGGUGGUUUCUUGUGAGAUGAGUUCUAUACCCGAACUUGAGUGCACUUAUGAUAGGAGAAUGGCAUAAUCUUGUUGACUUGUGUGGAGUUAUUCCUUAACAAGUUAACUUGCAAGCCCAUUCACUUGGUGGAGGUCUUGUUGGGAUCAAUAAUGUCACACGAGUAGUCGUGGUUAGGCAUUACUCUUUCCAAUAGGAACCAAACCUUAGAAACCAAGGACCUUAGAUACCUAGCCCAUCUUGGCCUAUUUUAGGACGUAGUGCGAAGGUCGUUCAAGUGUAAGACUUGAGGCGAUUGUUACGCGAUACUACACUCAUAAGAGUUCCUCGUUUUAUCCGAUAAUAUCCGAAAUAUGGGAUGAUGCCUAUGGGAACCUUUUUAGAACAUGAUUGUUAGGUUUAACCAUAGUACACUCCCGUAACCUUUGUAUGGUGUGACUUGCUUGAUCCUUGAGUGUGUUUGUUGCAUCCAUGCAUUCAUGCAUUACUUCGCAUUCAUGUCAUCAACAAUAAAGAUUUUUCAAGGAACAUAAGAGGUCUAUUUGCAAAUUUUCAGACAUGGAUAAGCAAAGAAGGAAUACGAAGAAGUACAGUUUCAGACAACCCGACUUGAAAGAGUUAAGGAGUUUGGCAUCUUAUGUAUUAGAGCCCUUAGAAUUUAAAGCUCGCCAUGGGAAGCUUCUAUCUAUUCUUUCUACUAAAGUGGAUGAGGGUCUGAUGAGUGUGUUGGUGCAGUUCUACGAUCCUCUGUAUCGAUGCUUCACUUUUCUGGAUUUCCAGCUUUUGCCUACACUAGAGGAGUAUGCCUAUCAUGUGGGUAUACCUAUUCUGGACCAGUUGUCGUUCAGUGGUUUGGAAAAGAUUUCGUAUUCUCAAGAGAUUGCUGACAUGCUUCAUGUAGAUGUAUAUGACAUUGUUGCCAAUAUGACUACCAAAGGUGGAAUUCAAGGUCUCCUGUUUGAUUUUCUGAUUACCAAAGCUACUUUGUUUGGGAAGGCCAUGAGUAAGGAAGCUUUUGAAGCCAUAUUUGUAUUCCCCAUCUAUGGGCUAGUGUUAUUUCCCAACAUCGACAACUUUGUGGAUGUGAACGCUAUUAGGAUUUUCUCUUCUCUUAAUCCCGUUCUGACUCUGUUGGGUGACACUUAUUUCUCUUUGCAUAUGAGGAGGCUAGUGUUAUUUCCCAACAUCGACAACUUUGUGGAUGUGAACGCUAUUAGGAUUUUCUCUUCUCUUAAUCCCGUUCUGACUCUGUUGGGUGACACUUAUUUCUCUUUGCAUAUGAGGAAUGCAAAGGGUGGUGGUUCCGUUGUGUGUUGUCUGCCUCUGUUGUACAAGUGGUUUAUUUCGCACUUGCCUCAGACGCUUGCCUUCAAGGAGAACAAGGUAUGUCUACGGUGGUCCACGAGACUUAUGUCUCUCACUAAUGAUGAUAUCUCUUGGUACAAUCGUGUUUAUGAUGGCGUUCAGAUUAUUGACUCUUGUGGUGAGUUCUCCAAUGUACCUCUUCUUGGUACAUGUGGUGGAAUUAACUACAACCCUGCUUUGGCUCUUCGUCAGCUUGGGUUCUCCUUAAAGGAUAAACCUAACAACAUUUCAUUGGAAGGCUUGUUCUUUCAAGAGGGUAAAGAUCCCCAGAAUUUGAAGGAUAGGAUGGUCCGCGCCUGGCGCAAAGUUCAUAGGAAAGGGAGGAUUGAGCUUGGUCCGAAGAACUGUGUUGCUUUGGAACCUUACACCUCUUGGGUAAGGAAAGAGAGCUCUGGAGUAUCGCAUGUCGUACGAGUAUCCGAGACCUACCCCUAUGGUUAUGGUUGGGCCUUCAACCCUCCCUAAUCAAGUAGUAGAGGAGUUGAGAGAUGAAGAUCGGUCGUGGCAUAGAUUCGUGAGCGUGAGUAACUUCUUCAGCAGCUCAAGGAUAAGGAUGCAAUGAUAGAGUUUCUAGAAUAUCAGGUUAUUGAUGAGCCUGAUGAUGUAGUUACUUCUCUCCUUCCUCACUCGUAUAGGUUUUGGAAGAGGAAGUAUGAUCAGCUCGCCAAGGAGAAGGCACACAUAGAAGCAGCUUAUGAGAGAGAGGUGAAGAGGCUUCGUGCGAUUUAUCUUCCAAUCUCGAAGGCGUUGGACGAUUGCUUCUAGGGCUCCAUAGGAUGUUCAUUCUCCUUUUCUCUUGUAUUGUAUUUGGUUACCAAAACUGUACUACUUCUUUGGUGUAAAAAGUUUCCAAAUAUUAUUGCUAUGAGUAUUCCAUAUAUGUCUUAAAAGUUUAAUAUCUUUCAAACAUUUGCAAAUAGAUCCCUAUAAAGUUCCUCUGAUAAAAAACAAAUCAUGUGCACAAGCAUUACAUGCAUCAUAUGCAUAAGCAGGUUUUGUUCCGAGCUCUUGAUCAGUGGUCUAACUCUUUGCUCUUCAUUUAUUUUGAAGACAAACUGACGCACCAGUAUAACACCAGAUCAAAUCAUCAGAAGAUCAUGGAACACCUUGAACAAGAGAACAGAGAUUUGAAGGAAGAGAUUGCUAGACUGACUGCCAUGAUGGAGUCAGUCCUUGCUGCGUAAAGUCAAGCUUCACCAACUCCUGCAACUCCUCCCGCGAGGACAGUCAUCUCUGAAGUGGUAACCUCAACAGUUCCUGCUGCCACAGCCCACUUCGCUCCUAGUAUGCCAGCUGGAUUCCCUUGGGGAAUUCCAUCUAACUUCAUGCCAUAUGGUUUCUCUCCCACUCUUGCUUUUAUACCGGCAUCUAGCCCGGUCCUGUCUGUGCCUCCUCCCGUUGUGCACACUCUCCCGCGUGUAGAAGACACCAUUUAUCAUUCCGAGCCAUCUGAGGGUCCGGAUGUAUAUGAGAAAAUGGACGAAAUGAAAGAUCAAUUCCUUGAGCUGCGCAAGGAACUGAAGACUUUGAGAGGUAAGGACCUCUUUGGGAAGAGUGAUGCUAAGUUGUGCUUGGUACCCAACGUUAAAAUCCCGGUUAAAUUCAAAGUGCCUGACUUUGAGAAGUACAAGGGAAAUACAUGUCCACUCAGCCAUCUUGUGAUGUAUGCUCGCAAGAUGUCGACCCAAACCGACAAUGAUCAAUUGCUAAUUCACUACUUUCAGGAUAGCCUGACAGGUGUUGCGCUCCGAUGGUAUAUGAGGCUGGAGAGUGCAAGCAUCCGCACUUUCAACGAUCUUGGAGAGGCAUUUGUGAAGAAGUACAAAUAUAACAUGGACAUGGCUCCAUACAGGGAUCAGUUGAGGGAAAUGUCCCAGAAGGACAAGGAGAUCUUCAAGGAAUACGCCCAGAGGUGGCGAGAAUUGGCAGCCCAGAUAGUGCUACCCUUGGAGGAGAAGGAGAUGACAAAGAUCUUCUUGAAGACUUUGAGCUCUUUCUAUUACGAGUGCAUGAUUGCUAGUGCUCCCUCGGACUUCACCGAAAUGGUGAAUAUGGGGAUGAGGCUAGAAGAGGGGGUCCAUGAAGGACGUUUGUCUCGUGAUGAUGGUUCCUCAACAAAGAAAUAUGGAGGAUUUGCUAGGAAGAAGAAAGGGAAGACUCAUGAUGUUUCUUCCCAAUGUUAAGAGAAGGCCCUCUGUGAGGAGGAAAGAGGUCUGACCGACUGUUAACCAACACCAGGUUGCUCAUAUAGCACCUGCUUUCAGAGAAGUUCAACAACAACCAUAACAACAACAUCGUCAAUAACAACAGGCUUAUCAGCCUCGCAAUAAUAACAACACCAGCACCAACAACUAUAAGAGGAAGAGGGUGAAUUUUGACCCGAUUCCAAUGACGUAUGCUGAACUUUAUCCUUCCUUAAUCGAUAGGAAGCUGAUAACUCCUCGUGAUCCUCCUGCUGUGCCAGCCAAUCCCCAAUGGUGGUACAAGCCCGAACUUCACUGUGUGUAUCAUUCCGGUGCUCCCGGACAUGAUGUGGAGAAUUUUUUUCCUUUGAAGACCAAGGUGCAAGACCUUGUGAGGAGUGGGAUACUGUUCUUUGAGGACGUAAGCCCAAAUGUGAAGAAGAACCCAUUUCCCGAGCAUGGGAAGGCAGUUGUUAAUAUGGUUCAGGGGUGCCCUGGAAAAUAUAAAGUCCUUUAUAUGAAUGACAUAAGGCAAUCCUUGGUUGAGAUGCAUAAGUUGUUGUGUGAACACAGACAUUAUGAGCAUGAUCAUGAUAGGUGUCAGGUGUGCACUAUAAAUGAGAGAGGAUGUCGUCAAGUGAGAAGGGACAUCCAAGAGAUGCUAGAUCAAGGGAUGAUUGAGAUACUUCAUAAUCGUAAUAAGGAUGAAGUCGAUGUUAUUACUCCCAUAUUCAAAAUUCCUGAUCCUGUUGCCAUCAAGUACGAUGGCAGCAAGAAGAAAGUAUCGCCAACUCUUGUGAUCAAGCCAGCAGGUCCUAUCCCGUAUGUAUCAGAUAAAGCGGUCCCCUACCGUUAUAACACUGUUAUGCUAGAAGAUGGGAAGAAGGUGUGUUGCCCUCAACCUCUGUGGUAAGCAUUUCUGACGUUAGUGGAGUGACCCGUAGUGGUCGUGUUUUCUCGACUCAGCCGAAAUCCCACGAAGAUGUUGUGAAGAAAGACGUUGUUGGUCCUGCUGGUCCCAUGGGGACUUCUUCUUUAAAUCGGUCUAUUCCUGUUGUGAAGGGUGUUGACCUUUUUGUUGUUAAAUCCCAGAAUACUCCUAUCCUAGUUGGCCAGUCUGGCAUGUUGAGAGAGGAUGGUGAUGAGAUGUUGAGGCUCAUCAAGAGGAGUGAAUAUAAUGUUGUGGAUCAGUUGCUUCAAACUCCAUCAAAGAUAUAUGUCUUAUCUUUAUUGAUGAAUUCAGAGCCACACCGUGAAGCGUUGCAGAGGGUGUUGGACGUGGCAUGCGUGGAUCACGAUGUCAUAAUUGAGUAGUUUGAUAGCAUUGUUGCAAAUAUAACCGCUUGUAACAAUUUGAGCUUCUAUGAUGAUGAUCUUCCUGAGGAGGGAAAAGACCACAAUUUGGCUUUACAUAUCUCCAUGAACUGUAAAGAUGAUGCCCUAUCCAAUGUGUUGGUGGAUACAGGGUCAUCACUCAAUGUAUUGCCAAAAUCUACUCUUGCCAAACUUUCAUACCAGGGGCCUCCCAUGAGGCUGAGUGGAGUGGCAGUGAAGGCUUUUGAUGGAUCGCAUAAAACUGUGAUUGGUGAAUUAGACCUCCCGAUCAAGAUUGGACCUAGUGAUUUCUAGAUCACUUUUCAGGUUAUGGAUAUACAUCUGUCAUACAGUUGUUUGCUCGGUAGACCAUGGGUUCACGAGGCAGGCUCCAUGACAUCCACCCUGCACCAAAAGUUGAAGUUUGUUAAGAACAAAAAGUUGGUAGUGAUAGGGGGAGAGAAGGCUCUCUUGGUCAGCCAUUUAUCUUCCUUCUCCUAUAUUGAUGUUGAGGAUGAGGUCGGGACUCCGUUCCAAGCCUUAUCUAUUGUUGAGCCUUCUAGGAAAGGACUUUCUUCAUUUGUCUCCUAUAAUGAUGCGAAGUUGUCCAUUGGGCAUGGUGCAACUACUGGUUUGGGGAAAAUGAUCAAGUUGGAAGAUAACAAGUCCCGGGCUGGUAUAGGGUACUCUUUUGGUGUUUAUAAUGAUCUUGGGUUGUUCCAGAGUGGAGGUUUCAUCCACACCAUGGAAGAUCAGGAAGUAGCUGCCAUCGUUGAAGAUAAUGAAGAGGAAGACCUUGGCAACUUUGUCAUACCUGGAGGAAUCUGCAAUAAUUGGGUCGUUGUUGAUAUUCCAACAGUUAUCCAUAAGUCAACAUAAUGUGUUCAUUUUGUUUAAAAACCCUUCUCCCAUGCCAAAAGGAGAAGUGAAGACAUUGUUGGCAUAAUUGAUUAAUACAAUGAUAUUCAUUCAAUAAUCGCAUGUUAAAUGUUUGUUUCUCAAAUUAUUUUUCCUUUUCUUUUUGCAUGAAUUGCGUGAUCACCAUAAAACCCUAAAAAGAAAAAGAAAUAAAAGCAAUCUUUUCAUCUGCAUAAUAAUUGCCUUGUUUGAAUUCUAAAAUCUCUUUUAUACUCAAAAUCAUUAUGCAGGUUGAUCAAACCCAUUGAACAUAAUUGAUCCAACACCAUCUCCCAAAUUUGAGUUCCUGUAUUUGAGGCAGAAGAAGAUGAUGUUGAAGAGAUUCCUGAUGAGAUUACCCGUCUGCUUGAGCACGAGGAGAAGAUCAUUCAGCCACAUCUUGAGAAUCUGGAAACAAUCAACUUGGGGUCUGAAGACUGCAUUCAUGAAGUGAAGAUUGGGGCACUCCUGGAAGAGUCUGUUAAGAAGGGGUUGAUUGAGUUGCUACGAGAAUAUGUCGACGUCUUUGCCUAGUCGUAUGAAGACAUGCCUAGUCUAGAUACUAAUAUUGUGCAACAUUUCUUGUCGUUGAAGCCUGAGUGUGUGCCUGUAAAGCAAAAGCUCAAAAGAACUCAUCCUGAUAUGGCAGUGAAGAUUAAAGAAGAAGUUCAGAAGCAAAUUGAUGCGGGGUUUCUGGUGACUUCUACAUAUCCUCAAUGGAUGGCCAAUAUUGUGCCAGUGCCUAAGAAAGAUGGAAAAGUCCAAAUGUGUGUGGAUUACCAUGACUUGAAUAAGGCUAGUCCAAAAGAUGAUUUCCCUCUACCACACAUUGAUAUGUUAGUAGACAAUACGGCUAAAUUAAAUUUCUUUUCAUUUAUGGACGGAUUUUCCGGUUAUAAUCAGAUUAAAAUGGCACCCGAGGAUAUGGAGAAGACAACAUUCAUCACACCUUGGGGAACAUUCUGUUAUCCAGUGAUGCCCUUCGGUUUGAAGAACGCCGGAGCCACGUAUCAACGUGUUAUGACUACCUUAUUUCAUGAUAUGAUGCACAAAUAUAUUGAGGUGUAUGUUGAUGAUAUGAUUGCAAAGUCGAAAACGGAAGUUGAGCAUGUAGAACACUUGUUGAAGCUAUUCCAGCGUUUGAGGAAGUACAAACUCCGCUUGAAUCCGAACAAGUGUACAUUUGGAGUCCGUUCCGGCAAGUUAUUGGGCUUUCUUGUCAGUGAGAGAGGUAUGGAGGUUGAUCCUACCAAGGUCAAAGAAAUACAAGAGAUGCCUGCGCCCAAAACUGAGAAGCAAGUCCGAGGUUUUCUUGACCGCUUGAAUUACAUUUCGAGAUUUAUAUCCCACAUGACUGCCACAUGUGCGCCUAUAUUUAAGCUCCUCCGGAAAGAUCAGCGUCAUGAUUGGACCGAAGAUUGCCAAAAGGCCUUCGACAGUAUCAAAGAGUAUUUAUCUGAGCCUCCGAUUUUUUUAUCCCCUCCUGUUGAAGGGAGACCAUUGAUUAUGUAUUUGACCGUGCUUGAUGAUUCCAUGGGUUGUGUCCUUGGUCAGCAAGAUGAAUCAGGAAAGAAAGAAUACGCAAUAUACUACUUGAGUAAAAAGUUCACUGACUGUGAGUCUCGGUACUCAAUGCUUGAGAAGAUAUGUUGUGCUUUGGCUUGGGCCGUUAAGCGUUUACGCCAGUAUAUGUUGAAUCAUACUACUUGGUUGAUAUCCAAAAUGGAUUCAAUCAAGUAUAUCUUUGAGAAGCUUGCUUUAACUGGGAGGAUUGUCCGUUGGCAGAUGUUGUUAUCCGAGUAUGAUAUUGAGUAUCAAGCUCAAAAAGCUAUUAAAGGUAGUAUCUUGGAUGACCAUUUGGUGCAUCAACCAAUUGAAGAUUAUCAGUCUGUGCAAUAUAACUUCCCUGAUGAAGAGAUUCUGUAUUUGAAGAUGAAAGAUUGUGAUGAGCCUACACUCGAUGAAGGGCCAGAGCCUGGUUCCCGAUGGGGUAUGGUGUUCGAUGGUGUUGUCAAUCAGUAUGGAAAUGGUAUUGGGGAAGUGAUUAUUACUCCUCAAGGCACACAUUUUCCUUUUACAGCAAGGCUAACUUUCAAAUGCACGAAUAAUAUGGCGAAGUAUGAGGCUUGUAUUAUGGGUUUGGAAGAGUGUAUUGAUCUUAGGAUCAAAUAUCUUGAGAUUUAUGGUGAUUCGACCCUUGUUGUUAAUCAGAUUAAGGGUGAAUGGGAGACGAAUCAGCCUGGCCUCAUCCCAUAUAGAGAUUAUGCGAGGAGGAUUUCAACUUUCUUUACUAAAGUUGACUUUCAUCAUAUUCCUCAUGAUUGCCUGUCAUUAUUGCGAAUGAAGUUUUCCAAAUACUUAUUGUGAGACUAGAUAGACCAACUCACGUGUUUGCAGUGAGGAGUGAAAGAUGAUAAGCCGUGGUAUUAUGUAUCAAGUGUAUCUUCAAAGUCAGAACUUACCCGCUUGGGGCGUUAAAGAUAAGAAGACUUUGAGGAGAUUAUCUGGCAGUUUCUACCUUAAUGGUGAUGUGCUUUAUAAGAGGAAUUUUGACAUGGUUCUGCUCAGAUGCGUGGAUAGACACGAAGCAGACUUGUUGACGACUGAAGUCCAUGAGGGUUCAUUUGGUACUCAUUCCAAUGGACAUGUUAUGGCUAAGAAGAUGUUGAGAGCAGGCUACUAUUGGCUGACAAUGGAGUCUGACUGCUGCAAAUAUGAAGAAAUGACAUAAGUGUCAGAUUUAUGCGAAUAAGAUUCAUGUUCCCCCGACACUUUUGAAUGUUAUUUCCUCACCAUGGCCUUUCUCCAUGUGGGGAAUUGACAUGAUUGGCAUGAUUGAACCUAAGGGGUCGAACGGUCACCGUUUUAUUCUCGUAGCUAUUGAUUACUUCACCAAGUGGGUUGAAGCGGCAUCGUAUGCAAAUGUGACCAGGCAAGUGGUUGUAAAGUUUAUCAAGAACCAACUCAUAUGCCGAUAUGGUGUGCCGGACAAGAUCAUUACUGAUAAUGGGUCUAACUUGAACAAUAAGAUGAUGAAAGAGCUGUGUAGUGAGUUCAAGAUUGCACAUUAUAAUUCUUCUCCCUAUAGACCCAAGAUGAAUGAGGUUGUUGAAGCUGCUAACAAGAAUAUUAAGAAGAUUAUUCAGAAGAUGGUUGUUACAUACAAGGAUUGGCAUGAGAUGCUGCCAUUUUCUUUGCAUGGCUAUCGUACAUUUGUCCGCAGUUCAACAGGGGUAAGCCCUUUCUCUCUGGUUUAUGGCAUGGAGGUUGUGCUCUCCGUAGAGGUUGAGAUGCCAUCAAUGAGGGUCUUGGUGGAAGCCAAGUUGACUAAGGCUGAAAGGGUUCAGAGUCGUUAUGACCAGCUGAAUUUGAUUGAAGAAAAGAGAUUAACUGCCAUGUGCCAUGGUCAGUUGUAUCAACAAAGGAUGAAGAAAGCCUUUGAUAAAAAGGUCAAGCCUCGUGUGUUCCGAGAAGGUGACCUCGUGCUCAAGAAAGUCUUGUCUUUCGCGCCCGAUUCUAAGGGAAAGUGGACUCCAAACUAUGAAGGUCCAUAUGUUGUUAAGAGAGCCUUUUCAGGCGAUGCUUUAUUGCUUACAACUAUGGAUGGGGAGGAUUUCACUCGUCCUGUGAAUUCAGAUGUAGUCAAGAAAUACUUCGCCUAAAAAAUAAAAACAGAAUAACUCGCUAAGUUGAAAACCCGAAAGGGCAGCUUAGGCAAAAAUGAGCGUCUCGGUGGAUUGAAAACCCGAAAGGGAGGUCCAGGCAAAAGUUAGAGACAUAAAAAAAAAUGAAUAUAUAUCCCGCUAGAUUGAGUACCUCACCCUGGGGCAAUCUAGGCAAAAAUUAGGGAUUUGGCGAGUAACUGCAUCCUGACAAGACUUUGUUCUACAGCUGUCAUCUAUCAAAGAUUCUCACCCAGUCAUCAUCAACUGAAGUUUCGAAUACAGUGGAUUCAGAGUUGGUGGAGAAAUGGUCAUUAUGUUCAAUGUAGCCCUUUUUCCAUGUAUAUCACCAAUUUCAAAUUUGUAAAGAUUCAUGGACUCUCGCCAUUUGCGUACUACCAUUCUAUUAAAUAAAUUUGAGCCUUUAUCCAAUUCUUUGCACUUUUAUUUGUUUCUGUUUAACAAAUGUUUGCAUGUUUUAAUUGACGGAUAUCAUUGUUUUAAACAAAUAAAGUUUUCAUAAAUAAACUGUUUUAAACAAAGUGAACAUUCACAAGGACUGGAAAGAUGAGUGGAAUGUCCUCAGUGCUUUCCCAAGGAUGGUAUGAUUACCAAAGGGUAAAACAUUUGUUCAUAUUCUGGCAUUUUUUAUAUAUAUCCUCUUCAUCAGCUUUCAGUGGUCUCCCCAACGAGCAUGGAAAGAAUGAUACAGCUUCCCGGAGAGUCUGAUAUGAGAAGUCCUCCUUGAUGGCAGUAGCUAGAUCGGUCUUAUGGAUUGUUUUUCUCCUAGUAGAAUUUGUGGACGUUCAUCCAACGCAUUCCUGGAUAGUUUUUUUGUGCGUACAUACUUGUUUCCCCCGUGGAGUCUUAGCAAUCCAUGAUUGGUUAUAUGGUGGAUCCGUGGAUGAUCCCUUAUGUUCCAGUUCUUGCCUUAGAGACGUGUAUCCCUCUAUAUCAGGCACUAGCAUUUGCGUUUUAUCAAUUAUAUGGUUGUCAUCCUUUGUGUGGACUGACCUAAAAUCCCUUAUAGAUUGAUAAAAGUUGAUAUGCUAUUCUACUCACGAGGAGGUUUGCUUUCCCCAACAUGAGUAGAAGUCCCCAAUGAAGUAAACAUGUGUUCCUUGUGGAGCUCUUUCCAGAUAAUUGUCUCCUCAGCAGGAAGUUGCCUAGAGCAAUGGGUGAAGGGCUUGUAUUCCUUUUCAUCCCUAGCAUGUCGCUUGUUGACAGAGGAUUCAUUUCCAAUUUCCUCAGCCAGGGUAGUUCCGUCGAGAACAUUUGCAGCUUGUCCCUAGUAGGGUUUCCUGAUCCGAGCUUGAUGUUGGCAUCUUCUCCGGGUCUGAAGAUUUCUUCUAGCAUUGAGAGCUGGUGUUGAAGAUGUUUAUUUCUUUCCCCAGUGGAGCAAAGUGUUAUUUCUCCCCUUAGCAGAAUUUCCUCUCCGGCAGUUAGAAGGGAGUAUUUUGAUUGAUGUGCAUCUAGUUGGUGGUUGUUUCCCCCACUGAGUUUCAUAUCCUUCCUUGAUAAGCUUCCCCAGUAGAGUUUCUUCUCCGGCGGAUCUUAUUGUUAUUCAACCACCUGUCCCCGAGAGAGUGGAUGGAAACUCCCCGGCAGAUCUUUUGCAUCUUCCUUAUGUCAGGAUUGUUUGCCCCUGGGAGACUUAUCUUGUGCAGAGUGUUACCUCUUGCAGUUGGAAGCUUUGACUUUGCCUAUUCCCAGCUUUGGUUAAAGUCUCCUCUUUUUCCCGAGAUCAUCCCCACCAGAGUUGAGUUCUCCAGUAGGUUUUUCCCUUCUUGUUGAGAUGUUAUAUCGGGUGUCUGAUCGUGAAUCUUAGACUUGUUUGUGUUAGAUAUGUCUGUUUGUCAGCAUUAACCAUACACAAAUCAUGCAUAUACAUGUAUAAUCAUAGCAUUCAGAUAACCAUGUUGCAUUCUUUUCCAUAUAUCUUUGUUCGUUAUCUCCUGCUAUUGGUGAAAUGUUCUUCCCCAAGCAGAUGUUUGUGUCUGAUAUCUCCAUAUAGAGUCAUCCCCAUAGGCAGAAAGUGUCUAUCUUUCCUUCUUUCUUCCUCACUGAGUUAUGUCCUCGUGGAUGAUUCUUAUUUCAGUUUCCUCCCCAAGUGUGUAUUGGGAUGGGAAUUACUCCCCUGAGUUAUAUCCUCAUCAGGUUAAGUCUUGUUUGAUUAUGUCUUUCUAGUUUGUUCCUAGAUUGAUUCUUUUCUUGUUAUCCCAUGCAGUUCCCUGUGGUGCAGUUGUUCAAUUGCUCAGUAACCAGUAAUUGUUCAUUCUUUCCUCAGUGGAUCUUGUGGCCUUCUACCCAGUAACCGGUAGUUGUAAGUCCUACUUCUGUGGUUUUCUACCCAGUAACCGGUAGAUGUAAUCCCCUCUUUGUUGGUUAUCUUUACCCAGUAACCGGUAUUGAUAUUCCUUCGUUUUGAGUAUACCACCCAGUAACCGGUGAUAUAUCUCUUGAUCUGUGGUUUUCUACCCAGUAACCGGUAGAUGUAAUCCCCUCUUUGUUGGUUAUCUUUACCCAGUAACCGGUAUUGAUAUUCCUUCGUUUUGAGUAUACCACCCAGUAACCGGUGAUAUAUCUCUUGAGUAUUGGCUUUUGUCAGGCAGUUUAUCCCUUGCGAGUCAUCUUUCAUUUACCCUUGUUUGGUAAUGAUUGUUUCUCCAUCCUUUUGGUCAUCAUUUUAUACCCAGUAACCAGUAUCCCGGUGUCCUUUCUUUUUCGGUCGAUUUAUCCUUUAUUAACCCAAUAACCGGUUGUGGAUAAUCUUCCAUGCGAGUAUGUUAUCUAUGUUAUGACGGUAAUAGAUAAUAUAUCUCAUGCGCUCUUCAGUCGAACUCUUUUCUUCCUCAGUCGAGUAAGAUUCGUAUUUCCUUGUGGAAUCGAAUGUCCAUCCUGUAAGUCGAGUUUGUUUUUUCAGCCCUCCUUUCGGAUGAUGAGUGUCUUGGAUAUGUUCCCAAUUCACGCCUGGUUGGUCACCUAUUAUAUACCCAGUAACCGGUAUCCCUGGUGUUCCUUCCUUCUGCUCCCUAUUAUGACAGAUGAGUGUCUUGGAUAUGUUCCCAAUUCACGCCUGGUUGGUCACCUAUUAUAUACCCAGUAACCGGUAUCCCUGGUGUUCCUUCCUUCUGCUCCCUAUUAUGACUUUUGUCCCCUGUGGAGUCAGAAUUUCCUGAGUUGAGAUGUGCCUUUUUGGUCCUUCUCAUAUGUUUCAGAUGAUUGAUAUCUCUCACCCUUAUACCGGUCUUAGAUAUUCUUUCUCCCUGAGCGUGUUGUUCUCUCACCCAGUAGCCGGUGUUUUGAUGACAUGUCUCUCUUUGAGCUUAUUACCCAGUAACCGGUAAUAUCUCGUCUUUUCUUCCUCAGCUGUGUCCUUUAUGGACAUCCCCGUCUGAGUCUGGAUUUUUAUCCGAUGUAUCCUUUAUGGAUAGUUUUGCUAUAUUGGCAUAUUCCCCAAUACAUGCAUCUUUGCGUCAGCUCGAGUCUUUCCAUCGAUUUAUUUUCAUGGAAUCCUUUCGUGUCUCCCAGCAAGUUUUCAAGUCGUGACCUACUCACGCAUUUUACCUUAUUUCCCCCCCAGAGUCUCUGUCUCCCUAGUGAGUGUGUUACUCCUAUGGAUUUUUUCAGUUUCUCCGGAUUUCUUUUCCUUUGUGGCAAUUAUUCACCAUGAAGAUUUUUAUUUUGCAUCAUGAGGUCUCUUAGGGACCAAAAUUCGUCUCUUUGUUAUUAUUUAAGCUCAUUCAAUCUCGUCUAGACGAAGAUUUUAACCUUCAUAUCUCCGGCUAGAAUGAUCUUAAAUAGGGGCAUCUGUAAGACCCUAAUUUUGACCCUAAGAUCCCUCACGGCAUCAUGUUAUUGCACAAGUGCAUUGCCUCAAGGAUCAUAGCAUGUUUGGCUCCUUAACCCUAAGGGUGGGACUUGUUUGAGUGUUUUGAAACCACCAAGCAUGCUUGUAUUAUAUAUUAUUGCUUUUCUUAUUUGAUUACCAACAAAAAGCACAAAAAUAUGUCACUAACUCUUUUUGUUUUGAAGCUCAAGUGAUCAUGUGUUCCAAUGCUCCUAGGAGGCUCUUAAGCCCAAUGAAAUGGCCAGAUGAAAAUGAGGAAAAGCAUGAAAAUGGUCCCCAAAGCUCCUAAUCAUCAUAUAUGCCUCCCAAGUAUCUCAAUUUUCCAAUUUGAUCAAGAUAACCCAAAGGGCUUGAGGAUUGUUUCCCAAGGAAACCUUAAUUUCACUAUGCUUUGACCGUGCCUUGCCCAUGAAGCAAUCUCAACCUAUGAUCAAAUUUAAUCAAGGUAAAUUCUUUCUUUAAUCAUUUUAUGCAUAUAUGAGCAUAUUGGAGGCCCCUCAAUCAUUUAUUCAUCAAGAUUGGAAGUUUGGCCUUGAAAAGUUGAUCAGUCAAACUCAUCUGACUAAACUGAGGUCUAUUGAGAUACAACUUUUGAUGUAUUUGUCAAAUGAAGAUUAACCCAAGAUAAAAAAUGUUCUUAAGAACCAUAUUAACAACUUUAAUGUUCAUCAAAAAUCCAUUUGAAACUUGGAAGGUCAUCAUUCAUUUCAAAACAUUAUAGGUCAUUUUGACUGAAACCCUAACUUUGGGUCAACUUACCAAGGGAAUAACUUCCUUAAUUUUUAUGAUUUUGAGGUGAGACCAAAUUAAUUGGAAAUCUUGAGAUGUCUACUUCAAAUGUUAUGUUGGACAAAAUUUCAUAAUCCUAAAAUAAAUACAUGUGAUAAUAUAAAACAUUAUAGGUCAUAUUGGACCUAAUUCAUUGAAUUUGAAAAAGUACCCAACUUCAAAUGCCCAUAAAUUUGUCAUAGCAAAUCCAAAUGAUGAAAACUUUGAUUCCAAAUUUAUAAUCUUGAAAAGAUAUACAACUUUUAUGUUGUAGGUUUUUCCAUUUGAAGCUUGCAUUAUGAUAAUAGAGGGGUUUGAUUAGGCUUGCUUUUGGUGAAUAUUUUCAAAUGUGACUUAAACAUGUUUUGUACUUGGAUUUUCUAGACCAAUUUUCAUUAAUUUCCAAAUGCCAAAUGAAUUUUUUCCCAACAUGACUUUUGUUCCUUAUUUCAAGGGCUUUCCAACCAUUACUCACAAUGCUCAUUUGGACUUACCAUUUGGGAUUUUCGAAGACCUUUCCAUUUAUGUGCAUUUUGGUAUUUCAUGUUAUAACUUGGUAUGCAAGCUGAUUCCAUUUCAAAUGCACGUAUUACUCACAAUGCUCAUUUGGACUUACCAUUUGGGAUUUUCGAAGACCUUUCCAUUUAUGUGCAUUUUGGUAUUUCAUGUUAUAACUUGGUAUGCAAGCUGAUUCCAUUUCAAAUGCACGUCCAAAUCAUUUACAUGUGAUUCUAGAAAGAUAUUUCAUCCACCAUUGGGCCUGCUACACGCUUGCACCGGCCCAUGCAAGCAAAUUUCAAAUGCCAUGCACAUGAAAGAAGCGUGGGAUUCAGCUACCUUGAGCUAUAAAUAAAGGUUCCCUCUCAUUCAUUUGGCAACCUUUUGGAGAUCUGAAUUGCUGUAGCAUUGAAACCAUAGCCAUACCAAAGGAAUUUGAUCAAAAUUUAUCUCACUUUCGAGCUUGAAAUUCAGCAUCAUUAGCUGAUCUUCAAAGCUUUAUUCCUUAACCUUUCACUUCCACUGCAUCCCUAGAGCAAAGAGGAAUCAAGAUCUUGAAGAAAUCGUGGCCUUAAGUGCUUCAAUUCAGAGGUAUACAUUCAAACUUUUGGAUCUAGAACUCUCAUUUCAUGUAGCAUUCUUGUGUUUGUGUGGUUUUCUAAAGUCCUCAUACUUGAGGCAAGCUUGUGAUGCUUUCAAUUUUCCAUUUCAUGAACUUUCAGUUUGAACACCAUGAUCUUCCACUUCAUAUUUCUCUCAAUAUAGGAAGAGUGAGGAAGAUCCAUGGAUACAAUGGUGAUCUCCAUCACACGAGCUUCAUUUCCAUGGCUUUGUUUUUUAUUUUUAUUAAAUUUCAUUUUCCUGCAACUGGUGGCCGGAGGUUGUUGUUCCACCGGAGAAGAUGGUGGUUUCCACCACCAUCACCACGUGUGCACCUUCACAGCCCUUGGAUUUGGUUUUCACGUUUUAAUCGUGUGCAUCCAUUGUAUUUACUUCAUUUAAUACCUUAUAUGGCGCGUAUCACUUGGAUGUAGCGUGUUCUCCAUGAUCUGAACCAUUCAGCCUUGCCACGUCAAUUGAUGAAUCCAUCCUAUGGCGCUGGUUUUUUCCAUUAUUUCUAUUUUCAUUUUAUUUUGAGUUAAUUCCAUUUAUUUUCAAAAAUUCAUAAAAAAUUCAUUUGAAGUCAUAAGAAUAUGAGACCGAUUCCAAAAAAUUUCUUGAAAAAUCUAGUUUCAUAUUUUGAUUUUUAAUUAUUUUUGUGACUUCAUUUGAUAUUUUUCAUGAAUUAUUUGAUUUUUAAUAGUUUUAAUUCAUUUUAAAAUACUUUCUGGCUUUUGAAAAAUCCAAAAAUAUUUUCGUAGCAUUUAUGGAUCAUGAAAAAUAGUCUCAUCAAUUUCUUAUUUGAUUUGAGAUUUAUUUGAGAUUUUAGUCUAUUUUAUGCUAUUUUUAGUUGUUUUUAAUUGUUUUUAAAUACUUUCUGGUUUCAAAAAUUUGUGAGAAAAUUAGUCAAAGUUUGUUUGACCAUGUUGGACCUAUGAGAAUUUAAUUGGACUUGUUGAAGUUGAUUUGAAUUGAAUUUGAGGUUUGACCUUAUUUGUUUAUUUUUUAUUUGCAUUUUAUUUUAAUUCAAAAAAUACCAAAAAAAUAUUGUUGACUAACUUGUUGAAGUUGAUUUGAAUUGAAUUUGAGGUUUGACCUUAUUUGUUUAUUUUUUAUUUGCAUUUUAUUUUAAUUCAAAAAAUACCAAAAAAAUAUUGUUGACUUGUAAUCUUCAUUUCUUUUCUAUUUGGUGUUGAUUGAUGUUGGUUUGAUCCACAUUUGAUCAAUUGGAAUUGAUUGAUGUAUUCUUUUCCCCUCCCUUUCAUCUUCAUCCCAUUAUUUCCAUCAAUGGCCAAUGAGUUAAGUUCUUAUGGUUGGUCUUGACAAAUGAGAGGUUUAACCUUCUUUGAUCCAAACCAAACUCAACUUGAUCCAUGAUUAAGUGAGUUGUUUUGUGUCCAAGAUAGGUUGCCUCUUGGUCAAGCAAAUAACCUAAAGAAAAUACAAGGCACUUCCCAUUUUGUUUUGGCAUGGAAAGUUUAUGGAGCUUGGCUUACUAGUCAUGAUCUCUAACUUGUGUUCUUUGCCUAUAUUUUUAUUGACCGGCCUCAGAUAGGUGAUCUGAGCAACUAUGCCUAAAGGAGUUCAAGAGCAACUAUGCCUCAUGCUUAUGGAGCUUGGCUUACCUAUGCUUAAAUGAGAUCAAGAGCAACUAUGACUCAUGCCUUUAGAGUGCUAAAUUGGUUGAAAAGCAACUAGGCAUCAUGCCUUUAGAAUGCUAAAAUUCCAAGUUGAUCUCAAAAGGACUUCUCUUCAAAACUUAUUCUUUGUCCAUUCCCCUUAUUGUGUUGUGAACUUUUUGAUGUUUGUUUGUGUGUGAUAGGGAUCCCACUUUGAGAUUGUGAAAAGAGGACCAUUGUCAUGAGUAACCAAGUUAAGAGACAAGUCAAAUGGAGAUCCUAUGAGCUUGAAUGCGAAUUAUUGAUUGCUUGUUUAUGUGUUAAGUCCAAAGGAAAUGAGCAUCUUGAAUCAUCUCUAUGAUUCCAAGAAAAGGAACUCCAAGGGUUUAUCUUUCCCUCUCUUAUCUUUGUAUGCUUUAGGACUAGCCCUUCUCUUCUUCUCCCCACUCUAACCAAGCCAAAAUCUUUUUCUUCAAACUUUGACUUUGUUUCAAAUUAGAAACCUAGGCCUUAAGCCUUUGACUACUAACCAAGCCAAAAUCUUUUUCUUCAAACUUUGACUUUGUUUCAAAUUAGAAACCUAGGCCUUAAGCCUUUGACUUUUCAAAACCAUUUUCAUCAAUACUCAUUGUGAAUAAAUCUUAAUCCAACUAUGACUUCAUUUUGUAAAUAAAUCUAACUUGUAAAUAUAACCCAUUUCAAGUUGUUUUGUGGUUCCAAUGGCCACUUGUUAAAACUUUUCAUAAACAUUAGUCAUAGGUUUGAGUUAUCAUAGUGGUUAAUGUAAAUCUCACCUCAUCCUUAGUGAUUGGAUUAUAAGUCUUCCAUGCUUAUUAUAGGGUUAACCACUCACUAGCAUGUUGAAGCCUUCCUCACAUGGUGGAUUGUUGGUUUAGGUUUAGUUUUCUCCCUUUGAUAACAAAAGACCUUAAGGCUUUUGAUCAAAUCAAUUCACCAAUCUUUGAGAUUUUUACCCCGAACUACGAGAUUUUGAUCCUCCUUUGUGAUGGUACGUAGGCAAUGGAUUCAUACAUUCAAACAACAAAUUUGUAAAUAUAAUCUAUUCUCUUCUCACCCCCCCAAUCUUUUGGUACAAAUAUUUUCACAAAUACCAACCUACAACACAUAUUUGCAAAAAGGGUUCCCUUAGAAUACUAAGGAUGUUUUGGGUGCGUAAAACCUUCUCAUUUCAUAACCAACCCCCUUACCCAGAUCUCUGACAUUUUUAUUAGUUUUUGAUUUGAUUUUGAAGAAUGGAACCGAAAACAAGCGAAAAAUCCCUUUCCUUUGGACAAAUAAAAGUGCGGUGGCGACUCGAAUUGUAUGUUUACUUUUGGUUUAGUCAAUAAACCUAAAGGUAACAAAAACCCCACUACAAUAUUCAAUGUAGCCCCUUUUCCAUGUAAAUUACCAUUUUUUAACUUUUGUAAAAGAUCUAUGGGGUCUUGUCAUUUACAGACUACCAUCCUAUUAAAUAAAGUUGAGCUUUUUAUCCAAUUGUUUCUACUCUUAUUUAUUUCAGCUAAAUAGAUUUAAAAUUUUAUGAUGAUUAUAUUGAAAUUGAAUUUAAAUCAUGUUUUCUUAAAAUAAUAAAAGCAGUUACUUUUUAAAUCGAUUUCAUUUAAGGCAUAUCAAUAGUGGUCUGAGAGCAGUAGGCCCUAAAUGAGAAGCAUUAUUGGUUUUCCCCAAGCAAUUGGAGUGAGCUUUGUUUCCUCUCCAGCAGUGUUUCAGCAUCGCCAACCGAGUUUUGUUGGUAUCCCCAGCUGAGUUUGUGAAUGCAUCCCUCGAGUUGUAGGCACGUUGUCUCAGCAAAUCAUUGUUUCCCUCAAGUCUCCAAUGGAUUCCAUUCAGCAUGGAUUCUAGAGCAGUUAUCUGAUCCUCUGUAAGGUUGUCUCCCCGUUUGAUAUGGUGUUGACCUAAAAUUCCCCGCAGAGUUGAUAGUGCAGAUUUUCGGCAGAUCUUUUCCUUUUCCCCAGCCAAGGUUGAGCCUUUGAGAUAGAUGAUCUGCGUUCAUCCUUUACCUCUCUUUCUCCAAUUGGUUACCUCCUGUGAGGAUGGGCUGAGUGUUGUAUUGGUGAUGCAGACCAGUGACAUUUGUAUCCUUUGCGAUCGUUUUGUCGGCAUAAUCAUCAUAUAUACAUAUACAUAUACAUUCAUAAAUUUCAUUAUUGCAUUAUUAUUUGCACUUUGUGAUUCAUUAUUUCUCUUAUCCUCUGUUGUGGUGGUAUCCUUUCCCCCACGCAGAUUUGGUGUGUCUGUCCUCUUUCAAUUGUAGAGUGUCAGCCCCUUAAGCGGAAAUAAUUUUACCUUUCUCAUUCCCCACUGAGUUAUUUCCUCGUGGAUAAUUAUUUCAGCUUCCUCCCCAGUUGAUUAUCUGGAUGGAACCACUCCCCCUGAGUUAUAUCCUUAUCGGGUUGAGUCCUUGAUUAACCUUUUCUUUCUAGAUCUUACCUAAAUAGAUGCUUUUGGUCCCCUGAGAGUCUAUUACCCAAUAGUGGGUAAUACUCUUCUCGAUUUGUGAGUACUUUACUUUUUCCCAAUACCCGGUAAAAGUAAUAUAUUUCCUCUUUCUCCCAGCAGAUUCGUUUUCAUGUUUCUCCAGGAAGUCUAUCCUUGAUAUGUUCAUCCUAACCGAUGACAGAUAUUUUCUUCCCCUGCUUCGAGUCUAUCCUUGAUAUGUUCAUCCUGAUCGGUGACGAAUAUUCUCUCCUUGUGGUAUUCUACCCAGUAAAACGGUAGUUGUAAUCCCUAUUUCUUUCCCCAGAGGGUUAACCCUUGAUAUGUUCAUCCCAAUUAAUUACGGGUUUUCUCCUCUUUGUGGUCUUCUGCCCAGUAACUGGUAGUUAUAAAUCCUGUUUCCCCUUGCGGAGUCUAUCCUUGAUAUGUUCACUUUAACCAGUGAUGGAUAUUCUCUUCUUUGGUAUUCUAUCCAAUAACAGAUAGAUUUGAUUUCUGUUUCUCCCCUCUGAGUUUAUCCUUGAUAUGUUUACCCUAACCGGUAAUGGAUAUUCUUCCUAAUUCCUCAGGUGUUUUAUCCUUGAUAUGUUCAUCUUAAUCGAUGACGGAUAUUCUUCCUUUGAUUUUAUCCUUGAUAUGUUCACUUUAAUCAGUGACAGAUAUUCUCUCUUUUUGGUCUUCUGCCCAGUGACCGGUAGUUGUAAAUCCUAUUUUGGCUUUUCCCCAGCUGGUUAUUCUUACCCAGUGACUGGUAAUGAAUAUACCUCCGAGAUGCCCUCAGCGAGUCAUCCUUGAUAUGCUUACACUAACCGGUAACAGAUGUCCUCCCUUCCAGAUUUGUUAUUACCUUAUCCAGAAACCGAUAGUGGAUAAUACAUUUAUGUUACUCCUGUGUUGAAGAUCAUUUCUUCCCCGGUUGAGUUUGAGUGCGUAUUUCCUCAGUGAGAUCGUUGUUUCCUGCUUGGGUUGAGUAUUUCAACUUUGUUCUGAUCUACCUGUUUCCCCUGCAAAUGUUCCUUUUAUUCCCCGACUGAGUCUUUCCAUUGAUUUGUUUUCAUGGAAUCCCUCGUGUCCCCCUAGCAGUUUUAAGUCGUAGCCUGGCCUACGCGUAACUUUUAUCCCCUAGAGUCUCUGUCUCCCCAGUGAGUUUUCCUUAUGGAAUGCAUUAUGCUCUUGCGGACUUUCAGUCUCUCCAGAUUCUUUUCCCUUGUGACAAAGUUUUCCCCACAAGAUUAUUUUUAGCAUUCAUAUCAUAUGCAUCACAAGGUCUCUUAGGGACCAAAAUUUGUUUCUAUAUGUUGUUAUUUAAGUCCAUUCUACUGAGUCAAUACGAAUAUUUAACCUUCAUCUCCUCAGUUAGAACGUCCUUAAAUAGGGGCAGCUAUAAGACCCCAAUUUUGACCCUAAGAUCCCUCAUGUUAUCUCAUCGUAUGCAUUAGCAUUGAGAUCACACCUUGGCAUCCUCCUUACCCCUCUUUCAUUGGGGUUGCAUUGGGAGAGAUCACCAAGCAUAUUUGAUUGUAUCAUGCUUCAUUUUUCUUUAUUUACUAACCAAAAUACCAAAAAUAUGUCAUUGUAUAGUUUAACUCUUUUGUAGGUAGUGCACAGGCCCACCUAUGCUCUAUCAAGCUCAUAUAUAGGAUUUGAGACCCUCAAUACAAGGAGCUCAAUCAAGAAAUGAUUUACUGUGGCUCUAAGUAUCAUAUAUGGGUCCCCAUGAUCUUCAUAUGUUAUUUUGAUCAAGAGAUCAUCAAGAGUUGGGAAUUGAUUUGCCUUGGAAACCCUAAUUCAUCUAGGUAUCUUGUGUGACUUCUUCAACAAGUUUCCUUAAUAAUUGAUCAAAUAUUUAAAGUUACACUUCAAAUUACACCAUCUUAUGCAUAUAUGAUCCUCCAUGAGUCUCAAAGAUCAAUAAAACUUCAAGUUUGCAAGUUGGUUUAAGGUGGUUGACCAGUGAAAGUCAACUAGCCAAAACUGGGGUUCCCUAUAUCCUACAAUUUUUGUCAUAUGAAAAUGAUUCCAAGAUUAAAGUUACUCUAAAUGACAUUCCAAAAAACUUUCAUGUUGAGUUCUAGAGAAAAUUUUGCUUGGAAAGUCAUUUUUUAUGGUGAAAGAUUAUAGGUCAUUUUGUCUAAACCCUAGCUUGGAGGUCAACUUCCCAAGGCCAUAAAUUGCUCAUUUUUUAUGAGAUGAAAGCCAUUCAAAUUUCAUGAUCAAAUUCAAGAGGUCUACUUAAAAUUUUAUGUUUGGAGGAAGUGCAAAUUCAACUUGCAAAUUCAUGUGCCAAGAGGAAACAUUAUAGGUCAUUUUGGACCAUUACCAUUGAACAAGUGAUUUUCCUCAACUUCUAAAAUGCAUAACUCCUUCAUGCCAAAUCAAAAUAAGGUCAUAUUUGUGACCAAAUUGAAUAGGUUUCAAAUAUAUACAACUUUUAUGAAGGAACUGUUCUCAUUUGAAGCCCAUAGAAAAAGAUAUUUAAGGUGGAAGAAGUGAACAUUUGACUUGGGACUUAGAAACUUUUCAAAUAUGUUUGAUUUCCCAAACUUCCACCUCAAAAUUAAUCAUGAUCCAAGCUUCAAAUGAAAAAGUAUUCAACAUGAAAGUUGUUCCCCUUGAUCUCACCUUUCCAAAACAUCCAAGAUCAUCUCAUUUGGACUAAAAUUGAAGGACUUGCGCAUGGUUUCAUUAUGGGAAGUGUUUUGGCAAGAUUGAACUUCACAUGAUCAUUUUCAUUUGCAUGCUUACACAUGAUGGUUUCAGCAGACUUUGUACAUGAUUUGGAGUUGGAUUGCAUCACUCUUGAGGCCCAAAUGAUUGCCCAUGCACCCAUGCAAGUUAAUUACUAUUUUUUUCCAAUUUUUAAGUGGUGUAAAUAUCAAACACAUUGUCUAUUUAAACAAGCUUAAGGCUUCAGAUUCAUGAUCAACACCUUGCCCAAGCAUUGCUAGACCUCUGCAAACCCUCACUACCAUAGAAUUUUUUGAGAUUUCUCUUGAAAUCGAGCUUGAACUUCACCUUCUGUUUGGAAGUUCAAACUCUAGAAAUUCACUUCCAUUUUCAGUUCAUUUGGUUUCUGCAAGCAAGAGGAGGAGAAAGCAAUCAAAUCUAGAUCAAGAUCAAGUCAAAUUGGAUCAACUCGAAGGUGAAUUUUCAGAAACUUCCACUCUUUGAUUCUCUCUUAUUUCUCCACUAUUCUUGUUGAUUUUUGGUUAUCUGAAGUCCUACCAAUGUAGGCAACAAGAUUGAGUUGCUUUGAGGUUAAAUCGAAGCAACUUAGUUCAUGAUCCUCAAAAUUCAACUCCAUGUAUCUUCUCAUAUACUUGGAGUUAGACAAAAUUGAGGCCAGAUUCGAGCUCCUGAGCAUUUUUUCUUUAAAUCCAUGUCUUGCUUUUUUAUUUUGGUGAUGGUUGAAGGUGGACCAGUCCGGUGAGGUCCACCGAAGAAGAAGAUCAGAGCUCUGGCUCCGGUGAUAUGUUGGCAAGCUUCUCAACCAUAGGAUCCAUUUAAAUUAUUUUAAUCUUAGGCGUUGAUUGUGAUUACCACGUGUGCUGCUCAGUUAACUAAAGAACACAUGGAACAUGCCUUUGAACCAUCUGAUCUUCCACCUCAAUUAAUGAGGGAGAUCAGAUGGUCCACAUAUUUUUGAAUUCCUGAAUUUUCAUUUUUAUUGCUUUAUUUUCAUUAAUUCAUAUUAAUUUCAUUAUUGAUCCAAAAAAUAUGGGACUUUCACCAAAAAAAUUCAAAUAUUUUCCUCUUUCAUUUUAUGAAUUAAAAUUAUUUUUUAGAUCAAUAUUGAUAUUUUUCAUGAUUUAAUUGUUUUUGUGCAUAUUUUAAAUUGUUUAAAAAUACUUUGGACUUUUUAAAAAUAGUGAAAUUUUUUCUCCAAUGUCCUUUGACCUUGUUUGACCUAUGAUAAAUCUCUUGGCCAUUUAUUUGGUGUUUUGAAUAGGUUUUAGGUUUUUGGUAAAACAUAAUUUAAUUUAAUGCAUUUUUAAUUUGUUUAAUUGAAAUAAUUUGUGUUGAGCCAUUUUUAUUGACUUAUGGAGUUUGACUAUUGUGUUUGGGCCUUGGUCAAGGUUGAUUUGACUUUUGUUGGAUUAAAAUCAUUGGAUUUAAGGGAUUGAUGAAAUAUACAUUUCAUCUCCCAAAAUGAAUGAAUGAUUUUAAUUUGAUGAAAUUCCUCCCAUGACCAAUUUGUGUUUGUCUCCUUUCCCCUCCCUCUUCAUAUUCAAUCCCUAUUUAUCUCACUCCUCUCAUUGGUCAAUUACAUCUCAAUAUCCUAAGGCUAAUCGGUUCAUGAACCAAUACAAGUAUGGAUGAGAUUAGGUCCAUCCUUUGAUCAUUUUCUUUUUGUGUGUGGUAUGUUUUAGGAGUAUGGUUCAUCAUGUCAUAUCUCUAACAUGCAUUAACACCAAAAAAUUUAGUGUCCGACCUCAGAUAGUUGUGACUUCUACAUAAGUCAAAUUACGAUUGCUUAACAUAUCGCUAAAUUUUGACACAAAAUGCAUAGCAUUCUAGUAAGUGAAAUUGUAAGUCUCCCCUUUUUCAUGGUAUUGUGUGGAAACUUGGCCUUUUUUCCUUCCUUUGGAAGAUGUCCUGGUUCAAGGAUCCAUGCUUGUGAGUAGAGGGUUGAGUAUUCUCCAAAGAAUGACUUAAAAAGUUGAAAAGAAAAACUCCACUAACAUCUAAUCAACUAACCUUUGACUAGAGGGUUGAGUGUUCUCCAUAAUUGAUUUAAAUUUCAAGUCAUUUACUUUAUGCCAUUUAAAUUCAAGUCAUUUACCAUUUGCCAUUAUACAUAUCAUUUAACUUGUUUAUUUUAAUGUAAUUUUCCCUUUGCUCACUUGAGCCAUAUAUUGUGAUUGUAUAUAUUUGUUUGUAUUAUUUUGGUUGAGCUUGUGGUCUUAGGACCUUAAAAUACUUAAUAAACAACAAAAACCCUAAAAAAUAUUUGUGUGGACUGUUGGAUUUGAUAUGAGCUUUGGACUUAGAAUUAGGCAACAUUUCCUAUGCAAAAGGACUUGGCCAAUGCCAACAUUUUUGAAACCAAGUCAUUGUGACGUUGAGCUUUCAUCUGAUACAAGUAUUGGGAUCCACAUGAGUUCAUCAGCUACAUGGUCUUGAUGCAGGUGUUACUUUGAACCUGUGUCUAAUGCCUUAUUCUGAGCCAUUCAUGGAGUAUGUCAUCUGAUACAUGGGGAAGAUUAUGAAGAAGAUUAUGAAGUUGCUAGCUUGGAUGUGGAUAUCUUUAUUUGAUGCCUUGCUCUUCAUCUUGCUAUUUGUGUAUUGAUAUUUCUUGAUCCUAAAGUCCAAGGGAAAAAUGGGUUUCUAUAUGACAUUCUUGUCUAUUGGAUUGUAUCCCAUUGGUCAAAUAUUUUCAACUCUUAACUUUUAAAUUUUUGCUUAGGAUUAGCCUCUUCAUUUCCUCUCACUUCUUAAAUUUCAAAUUUCUCCCUCUUUUCAAAAACCUUCUUUGCUUGUGAUUUCUAAACUUAGACUUUAUUCCAAAUUAGAAACUUUGACCUUAUGUCAUUGCAUUUUUAAACUCUUUUCUUAAAUCAAACUUGUGAAUAAAUCUAAUCAUAUUGACUUAAAGUUUCAAAAGACAAAAAGAACUAACACUCAUUCAAACUCUUUUAGGCCCUUUGUGCCUCCUUUAAACUUAAAUUUUUGUUAAAAGCAAUUCACUCACUUUAAAAUUGAUACCAUGAACUACGAGGUUUUGAUCCCUCAUUUUUAUGUUGGUACAUAGGCAUAAGUCCGGAGGUCUUGUCAAACACAAAAAUAUAAUCAAUGAAUUCUUUUCUCAUCCCCACACUCUAUUUAUUGCAAGCAUCAUUUUAUACCAAAAAUACAUACACACAUAAAAAAGGGCUCUCUAGGAGUACCUAGGACACUUUGGGUGCUAACACCUUCCCUCUGUGUAACCAACCCCCUUACCUGUAAUCUCUGGCAUUUUAUUAGUUUUGAUUUGAAAACUUCUUAUCUUUGAGUUUUGCUCGUACUUUUCUCUUUUCCCUUGGAAACAAUAAAAGCGCGGUGGCGACUCUGAUUUUAUUGACGUUAAGUUUAUCCAUAGCUUAAUGGUCAUGAAUUUACCGCUACAGUCUGCACGGGAAAAUAUUUCAUUUUAAUAUGCAAUUGAAAGAAAAUAGAAAUAUAGACGAAAUGAACGUAAUGUAAUAGAUAUAACAUUAAUAAAAUCACAACAAAGCAAAAUAUGCAAGUCGAUAAAAACUUCAUAAUAUUUUGAUGAGUUUGAAUAAUAAAAUUAUUAUGUGUCCAACAAAGGAAAUUAAAAACUAAAGUUGUAAUAGUUAUGCAUAAACAAAUGAUACUUGAGGAAUUGGUAGGAUCAAUUGUAGACAUGACAUAACCUAUAAACAUGUUUAAAUAAAGGUGAAUUAAUGAUUUACGAUAAUAAUGGCAGAAAAAAUAUUAAUGUGAUUUAAAAAAAAUAUUAAUAAGCAGAAAAUUAAAGUUACCUAUAUGAUGUUAUGAAAAAAUUCUUUAAAGACAACAUUUGUUGUUUGAAAUAAGGAUUUGUUGUCUUUGUCAUGUAUCAAGAUUUUCAAUCCAGCUUUGCUCUUAACUCUUGAAAUAGCCACAUAUAGUUGUUCGUGGCUGAAAACAUUCUUGGGGAAAUAUAAACCGACAUAGUCCAAUGAUUUACUUUGAGAUUUGUUGAUUGUCAUAGUAAAUGACACAAUAAUUGGGAAUUGUCGUCUGAUAAGUUUGAAUGGCCAUGGAGAUUGAUAAGGAGACAAAUACAUUUUUGGGAUGUAAAUAGUGUUUCCAAUAUUUACUCCUGAAAUAAUUGUUGCUCCGAUUACAUGGUUGACCAACUUAGUAACUCUCAAUCUUGUACCAUUGCAAAGUCCUUCUGAUUGAUCCAAAUUCCUUAUCAACAUGAUGGUUGUGCCAAUUUUCAAUUUAAUUGAGUGGUUUGGCAAUCCAUAAGUUUUUAGACAACUCAAAAAUUAUGGUGUCAAAUGCUCAAAAGCAUCGUUAUCGUUGGCUUCUGAUCUAUCAAUGGAAUCACAACUCAAAUAUUCUUUUGAGUCACUUAAAUUAAAAAUGAAUGAUGCUUAAUGUCUCAAAGUUAAACAUCAUGAAACUAUAAAUGCAUGACAUACCAAAUGUUAUGCUAUGUAUUUACCGUAUGAAACUAUAAGCAUGUAAUUUAUAAGUAUCAUUUUGCAUAGUAAACUAUUCAUCAUAUGUUAUCGUUUAAAACCGGAUGACAUAUAUAAUGCACAACUGAUUAUGUUGUUAAAACAUUGUAUAACCAAUAUAAUAUUUAUGCACAGUUUCUCAUAGAAUGUUGUUGCACUUUUUGUUAUAACACUAAGGAAUAGAAUAUAUAUGCAACAAUUCUAUGAAUAGAUUUACAUAUGCAUGACAUAGAAUACUUUAUCCACUGUUUAUGAUUCAAAAGUGCAACAAUAUUUGUAUUUGUAAACAAUAUAAUAUUUUAGGGUACAUAACAAAACAACAUACCUACAUAUGCAUGUAUCAACAAUUUUAUCUAAUUUUGAAACUAAGAUUGUAUCUUUUGCUAUCAAAAUUUAAUAUACAUGAACUAAAAUGUUAUAUUAUAUCUGUUUUAGUUCUACAUGACAAUGUAUUACAUUUGUUACAUUGUAAUAUGUUUUAUACCAGUUUUGGGGGAAAUAUAUUUUAUAACAACGAUGACAGUGUAUUACAUUGCUUAAAGUAUUAUAGUACUAUCAAAAUGUUGUAAUACAAUUUAUAUUAGUUAAAGUAUUAUAUUCUAAUUUACAAACCAAUGACAAUAUAUUAUAUUGCUUAUAACGGAACUUUAAAAAUAGUAUAAAUCAGAAUGAAGAUAUACCUUGAAGAAGAUUUGUAAUGUAGUCGUUAAUGUCAUCGACUAUUUCAAUAAUUGAUGCCAAAAUAGCUCUACAUUGAAGAAAAUCUGAAUUUGUGUAGUUUUGAAUGAGAUUUGGAUAAGUACUUGUAAUAAUAGCUUCAAUUGGGUCCACAAAAUCUUUAAUGAUUAAAUCUUUUGGAAUAAGUAUCUCAGCAUAUCCAUCACUGGGUUCAAAUUUUUUUUCAUUUCCAACUUGUAAAAUCCAUUCAGAGAAUAGUCGAAUUUCUUCGAAAUUGACUAAAUUUGAGCCACUUUGCAACCACAUAUUUUUUGUUAGAUUAAGAACUUUGCAAUGAUCCAAAAUAUAUGAGGCAUUUAUUGUAGAAUGCACAAUAUCAGACCUACUACCUCUUGGUACAACGGGUAGAAUUUGUCUGAAGUCUCCACCAAAAAUAACAACUUUACCUCAAAAAAUUUGGUUACAUGGACCUUUAUCAUCACUCAUUAUAUCCUUCAAUGACUUCUUAAGAGCUUCAAAAUAAAAUUUAUUUUCCAUAGGUGCUUCAUCCCAUAUAAUGAGUUUUGUGACUUUUAAGAGAUUAGCUAAAUCAAAUUUCUUCUCAAUGUUACAUAUGGAAGAUUCAAGACAUGGAUCUGGAAUUUUGAAUUUGGAAUGUGAUGUUCUCCCUUCUGGUAACAAUAAACUUGUUAUCCCGUUUGAUGCCACAUUCAACACAAUAUCUCCUUGACAACGAAGAACAACAGAAAGUGUAUUCCAUAUGAAAGUCUCUCUGGUGCCCCCAUAACCAUAUAAAAAAAUACUCCACCUUUUUGGUUUGUGACGACUUCCAUGAUUUCUCUAUAAAUGCUAAGUUGUUCUUCUACAAUAAAAAAUAAUAUGUUUUCAUUGGAAUUAUUCAGAAGUCAUAAAAUUAUAUAUGCAAUAUGAACAUGCGUAGUCAUAUAAAGACGACACACUAGAAUAAGGACAACACACUGAAUUGAAUGAUAGAGUAAUGGAAAAAAAUUAUUGCAAGGAAGUGUAAAUAAAAAAUAGAAAUACCUGUUAAUGAUUGAAACAAAUUUUGGUAAAUAUCUUUUUGAGCCGAAAUAUCAUAUUGUCUUUCAUCAUAUAUCAAUUUAUUUCCAAGAAAGUCCAAGACAUAAUUUGAUGGAUAUGGUAUUAGUUUAAAUUCUUUUAAACUUCUUCUAUUUUUUUGAAGUUGUUUCUCAACUUCCAUCAAUGUGAGUUGUUGGAUAUCUUCAUCUGACAAAUAUAAUUCUACAAAUAAUGUUAAGAGCAAAGUAAGUUACCAAAAAUUAGAAAUCCAUAGAUUUGGGAAGAAAAUUCUAAAGUAAUGUGAAUUGUAAACAUGUCGUAUAUAUAGUAAAAUGGGCACAAUAACAGUAGUAUAAACAUGUUAAUUGAAAAGGGUAAAUAAAAAAAUAUGAAUUGUAAAGAUGAGCAGUAUAUAGAAUUUUUUUACAAAAAAGUAAAAUUGAAGGGAUAAAGUAUAAAUUUAUAAUAACCUGAAUUUUGUGACAAUCUUCUUUGUUCAUAUAGAAUGACAUCUGAUAAGUAUAUCCAAGUCUUUUUCCAAACAUGCUCAAGUCGAUUCAUUGAAGGUGACAACAACAUUGUCACAAAAAGUUUGCGCAAAAAAACUCCAAAACCCCAAUUGUAAGCCUCUUUAUUGCCUCAUUGUACUCUUUCUCAUCUUCUAGGAAACCCAAUGCAAAACAUGCGUCUCUAAAGGUAUUGUGUUUGAAUCCCUCAAUUGUCUUCAAAUCAUCAUAACAAGUUGGCCCUUUCUUCACAGUCAACAAUAUCCUCAUAUAAUACAACUCACCAGUUGUUAGAGGCACCCAAAUUAGUCGGCCAAUGGUGUAACCUCUUUUCCGUGGUUUCCAACACCUCUUUCUCCUAUCAUAAACAAAUUUGGAUACAAAUUGAUCAUAUGUUAAUAGUUUUGCUUCUUCAUACUCACUAUUUGCCACAAACCAGGAUGUAAACAUUGACUCUGUGACACUUGGUUUAAGAAGGACAUUCCCAAUUUGCUCAAAGUCUUUGUACUAUACAGAAUUCUCCCCCUCCAUGUGAAAAAAACAAUCUUUCAACUGCUGGUUUUCGACCAUGACUUGAAUAAGAGAAUAUUUUCCAGCAUGCUUCGCUUGGUGAUACAUAACGACAAUCUAGGUAUUGUUUGAUUUCAUCAAUUUUUUCAUCAGUAUGAGAGUUAUUUGGAAUAAUCACUCUUGAGAUUCUAUCAGAACCCUUGUUUAUGUAUUUGAAAAGAUAUUUGAUAGAAGUACUUUGAUUGCACCACUCCAUAUUAAUGUGUGCCUCAUAUUUCAUCAACAAAUUUGGGUUGUGGGGGACAACAUGACCACUAUGAAGUGUGAUUCCAUUUUUUUUCAAUUGUAUUCCCUUGAUCUCUCCUCCUAUAAACUGAAUAUCCAAUCAAAAUUAUCCCAAUUUAAUCAUUCAAUACAAAAUAAUUCUUUCACAUAUCCCAUUCAAACCCUUUUUUUUCAUCAUUUUCAAACUUCUAAACAAAAUCUUAAUUUAAUUAUAUAUCUACAAGAUUGAAAGUCAACUCUAACACUCAUCUUAUUUUAUUAAGUUAAUUAUAUACUCAAUCACAUAUCUUUAAAUUUAUUAAUAUUUAUUUUAAAUUUUAAUAUUAAAAAUUCACAAACAAUUAAUGUGAAACAAUGAACUAUGCCUGUUAGGCUGUUACUAUGACUAUGAGACUAAGGUGUAAUAUUUAUUUCUCAAAUGAUUUGUAAACAAAAUAUAGACAACACCACAUCAUCAUAGAACAAUCCACAUCGGAUAACGGGAGGCGCGUGAAACAAACGAACCACCAUAACAGUAAAAAAACGGACAUAUCUUAUGUCAAGUGAAUACACAACAACGCAACACUCACUAACUCUUAAUUUUGUAUCCAAAUAUCCUGAAAAAUAAAAAACAAACAAAUCUACACAAAUGAUGAACAAGAAAGUCACAAUAAUAAUAAAAAGCCGAAAAGAAAGGAAAAAAAAAAACAAGAUCCACCUCGAACCUCUCUCCACUCUCCCACUACAUUCCAAUCCAAUCACAAUCACCCUCUCUUCUCUCACAACAACAACAACACCACCACUAUCCUCACCCCCUUGUUGUCUCCCAAACCCCAUCCCCAAUUAUCACUCUCUAUAAUCCUUCAAUCAAAUUCCACAAAUUGAUUCUCUCUUCACCACCACCACCAUCACCACCACCACCGCCUUGAACAAAACCAGUGCUUGAUUCAUCACACACAUACACCGAACUCUGUGUGUGUCAGAUUUUGAGAAUCCAAUAAUGAGAGAAGACGAUUCAAAUUGGUUUUCACGAUGGGAAGAACAACUACCUCCACCGGAAGAACUCAUGCCUUUAUCACAAACCCUAAUCACUCCUGAUCUCGCUAUAGCUUUCGAUAUCAGAAACCCUCACACCACGAACACUAUCAACGCUAAUCCGCAACACCAACAACAUCAUCAACAACAACAGCAACAACCUCCACCUUCUU
RNAcentral lists this long non-coding RNA (42553 nucleotides) under Lathyrus oleraceus (garden pea). RNAcentral's name for it is "Pisum sativum (pea) long non-coding RNA (PSAT_LNC009856)". The record is from RNAcentral. Lineage: Eukaryota; Viridiplantae; Streptophyta; Magnoliopsida; Fabales; Fabaceae.